UGAUAAUCGACACUAACUAUGUCAGGGCC
This 29-nucleotide non-coding RNA is filed under the name Mus musculus (house mouse). The record is from RNAcentral. Lineage: Eukaryota; Metazoa; Chordata; Mammalia; Rodentia; Muridae.